RNAcentral lists this unclassified non-coding RNA (300 nucleotides) under uncultured Orbiliales. RNAcentral's name for it is "sequence contains 5.8S rRNA gene, ITS2". The stretch from base 1 to 71 matches the Rfam family "5.8S ribosomal RNA", at positions 84 to 154 of the family's 154-position model. The record is from RNAcentral. Lineage: Eukaryota; Fungi; Ascomycota; Orbiliomycetes; Orbiliales.
GUGAGUCAUCGAAUCUUUGAACGCACAUUGCGCCUGCUGGUAUUCCGGUAGGCAUGCCUGUUUGAGCGUCAGCAAAAACUCUCAGCUGAAAUUUAUUUUUCUGGCUGGUUAUGGGUGUUUGGAGGAAACUUGGUCCUUUGUGUCCAGCUCUCGCCUUAAACUUGCUGCACGACCGCAAGCUAAUGCUAGGUUAAUGGAGUGGUAUUUUCUUAUAAUUCCAGCAACUGUUCAUAGCUUCCGCGGCGUUAAACCUGAUGUUGCUUAACUGCGACUGAAGUUUGACCUCAAAUCAGACAAGGA